This 74-nucleotide transfer RNA is filed under the name uncultured archaeon. RNAcentral's name for it is "tRNA-Thr(tgt)". It matches the Rfam family "tRNA". Rfam says of the family: Transfer RNA (tRNA) molecules are approximately 80 nucleotides in length. Their secondary structure includes four short double-helical elements and three loops (D, anti-codon, and T loops). Further hydrogen bonds mediate the characteristic L-shaped molecular structure. tRNAs have two regions of fundamental functional importance: the anti-codon, which is responsible for specific mRNA codon recognition, and the 3' end, to which the tRNAs corresponding amino acid is attached (by aminoacyl-tRNA synthetases). tRNAs cope with the degeneracy of the genetic code in two manners: having more than one tRNA (with a specific anti-codon) for a particular amino acid; and 'wobble' base-pairing, i.e. permitting non-standard base-pairing at the 3rd anti-codon position. The record is from RNAcentral.
AGCCUCCGUAGCUCAGUGGUAGAGCGCCUGCCUUGUAAGCAGGAAGUCGCGAGUUCAAAUCUCGUCGGAGGCUU